Molecule: microRNA precursor, 97 nt
Organism: Loxodonta africana (African savanna elephant)
Lineage: Eukaryota; Metazoa; Chordata; Mammalia; Proboscidea; Elephantidae
Source: Ensembl
CUGGCAUGGUGCGGUGGGGCAGCUGGUGUUGUGAAUCAGGCCGUUGCCAAUGAGAGAACGGCUACUUCACAACACCAGGGUCGCACUCCACCACAGG